Long non-coding RNA from Panicum virgatum (switchgrass), 1930 nucleotides. RefSeq lists it as uncharacterized. The transcript has 5 exons. The record is from RefSeq and is a predicted model, not a curated record. NCBI's taxonomy places the organism in Eukaryota, Viridiplantae, Streptophyta, Magnoliopsida, Poales, Poaceae.
CCGCAUGCAUAGGCCCUGCAUUUCUAUGCGAGCCUUAUCCUCUCCCUAUCUCAUUCUCAUCCACUAACCCAUCCGCCUCUACCUCUCCAUGGUCCCUGCCCCUCUCCCUACCCCAAGCUCGAGAAGGACGACCACGACUCCGCGUAUUGCCUCCGCCCCUCCUCCGCCAAUGGCACCGCGCCCGAACCCCCGUCCGCCUCCGCCGCUGCGAGCAGGGCGCCGCCAAAUGACGACGGGAAGGAGGCCAUGGCGGAGGAGGCGGUCGACACCCUCGUCACGCACCGCGAGCGCGACGAGGAGCGCUGCAAGCUCAAGCUGCUCCACUACCAGUCCCUGGUACGCGCCCCCACGCCGCCCGCCGCCGCUGCAGCUCGACAUCCAUCCGCCGCUCACUAGAUCAAGUGCCCGCCAUGCCGACGGCCGCCGACCCCACCGCCGCACCCCCCUCACCUUCGACCUCGAGGACUUCAAGGGGGGGCUUCUCCUUCGACGCGCUGCUCGGGGACCUGGUGGACGAGCUGCUCCUGGAGUACUGCGAGGAGGAUGACUGCGCAACCGCGCCACCCCCGCCCCGCUGCCGCCGAGCUGCUCGGCCUGUUGAAGCACUCGUACAAGGAGCUCGUCGACCUCCGCAGGCAGAUUGACAAGAGACUCUAGAAUCUGAAGGAGGAGGUGGCCGUUCUGGACGCUAAGCAUUGCAAGACGUGGACGAAUAGGCCAGCGCUCGAGCCCGAACAACUCGCUCUUUCUCUAUAUAUCUAGAAUAAUUAAAGUCCUUAGGCAAUUUUAUCUAUCAUAUCUCACUAUUCUUCACUGUACUGCAAGUAUCUAGCAGGAAAGAAAAACCGUGUGAGGUCAAAUGCUGCAGCAGCCAACAGGCACGCCUGCAGCUUUUUGUGAUAAUCGCAAUCAAAUUCUGUGUGCGCCUUUUCUCUCCCCCUUCUAUUGUACCGAUGCACUAGAUUUUAGGAAAUGCUUUUAUUAGUUAAUCCUCAUGUGUGCUCAGGUGCAUUUUGAGACAGUUUUUUUUGUAUCAGUUGGAUGUAUGCUAUCAUUUGGAUGGUAAAAAAUUGGUUGUCAUUUUGUUUUGCUACCAGUUGGACAUAUGCUAUCAUUUGUUUGCAAGGGUAUUGAAAUUUAUUGUAGAGUUGCACUUAUUGACUAGUGCAUCUAGCUCGGGUCCUAGAAAAAUCCACCGUGCGGCUUGUGAUUUUGGGACUGGAAACGAGGAGCUGUCCUUUGUUUUCGCUCGCUAGAAUCCUGUAAUCCCCGAUAGUGGUGAUCAGGCUUUGGGGGCUAGUCAACCAGUGUAUCUACUCUUAUUUGUGGGCAACUUAUACUAAAUUAACAAGCAAAUUAUUCAGUUCGGUUUAGCAUUUUUGUGUUUUAACUUUUAACAUUUCUUGUGCUCUGCUUUUUAGUUUUCUAGCUUCUGCUGUUCACAAAACUAUCCUAGGAUGAACCUGCUUUUUUUUAAUGAUGAUCCCGCCCUCAUCCCUGUCCUAGGAAUUCUCAGUAUGAUGUCAAGAGCCCAUAAGCAGCAUCAAGGCCAAGCGGCCACACAAAACAGUGUUUAGGACCUGAAAUUUGAUGUGCCUUUUUUCUGCCUACAAGUUUCCUCGGCCAAUUGGCAUUAUAACAUGCUCUUCAGUAGCUUGGUGUUUAGUGGCCUGGAAGUUCAUCAGAUUGUUAUCGAUAGCAGUUUAGUUGCAGCUCAAUCUUGAUAUUGGUUCAUGUGCAGCUUGGUAGUAGUUGUAGUAGCUCUAAUUUUUUGUUUGGUCACUACAACAGUGGAGGCAAUUAGGCAAUCAGAUGCAUGCUUGUAGUUUUGAAACUUUGUUAUUGUUAAAAUUUAGAUGGGUAAAAAUGCAUUUGUAUAUGUUCUAAUUUGUUUGCUGAUUUUUAAAGCUUUGCUUUUGAGAUCCUAAAA